Molecule: non-coding RNA, 85 nt
Organism: Felis catus (domestic cat)
Lineage: Eukaryota; Metazoa; Chordata; Mammalia; Carnivora; Felidae
Source: Rfam
GCCUGGGUGGCUCAGUCGGUUGAGCAUCCAACUUCAGCUCAGGUCACGAUCUCGCGGUCCGUGGGUUCGAGCCCCGCGUCAGGCU